GAAUGCUGGUGUGAGUAGCGAAAGACGGGUGAGAAUCCCGUCCACCGAUUGACUAAGGUUUCCAGAGGAAGGCUCGUCCGCUCUGGGUUAGUCGGGUCCUAAGCUGAGGCCGACAGGCGUAGGCGAUGGAUAACAGGUUGAUAUUCCUGUACCACCUAUAAUCGUUUUAAUCGAUGGGGGGACGCAGUAGAAUAGGCGAAGCGUGCGAUUGGAUUGCACGUCUAAGCAGUAAGGCUGAGUAUUAGGCAAAUCCGGUACUCGUUAAGGCUGAGCUGUGAUGGGGAGAAGACAUUGUGUCUUCGAGUCGUUGAUUUCACACUGCCGAGAAAAGCCUCUAGAUAGAAAAUAGGUGCCCGUACCGCAAACCGACACAGGUAGUCAAGAUGAGAAUUCUAAGGUGAGCGAGCGAACUCUCGUUAAGGAACUCGGCAAAAUGACCCCGUAACUUCGGGAGAAGGGGUGCUCUUUAGGGUUAACGCCCAGAAGAGCCGCAGUGAAUAGGCCCAAGCGACUGUUUAUCAAAAACACAGGUCUCUGCUAAACCGUAAGGUGAUGUAUAGGGGCUGACGCCUGCCCGGUGCUGGAAGGUUAAGAGGAGUGGUUAGCUUCUGCGAAGCUACGAAUCGAAGCCCCAGUAAACGGCGGCCGUAACUAUAACGGUCCUAAGGUAGCGAAAUUCCUUGUCGGGUAAGUUCCGACCCGCACGAAAGGCGUAACGAUUUGGGCACUGUCUCAACGAGAGACUCGGUGAAAUCAUAGUACCUGUGAAGAUGCAGGUUACCCGCGACAGGACGGAAAGACCCCGUGGAGCUUUACUGUAGCCUGAUAUUGAAAUUCGGCACAGCUUGUACAGGAUAGGUAGGAGCCUUUGAAACGUGAGCGCUAGCUUACGUGGAGGCGCUGGUGGGAUACUACCCUAGCUGUGUUGGCUUUCUAACCCGCACCACUUAUCGUGGUGGGAGACAGUGUCAGGCGGGCAGUUUGACUGGGGCGGUCGCCUCCUAAAAGGUAACGGAGGCGCUCAAAGGUUCCCUCAGAAUGGUUGGAAAUCAUUCAUAGAGUGUAAAGGCAUAAGGGAGCUUGACUGCGAGACCUACAAGUCGAGCAGGGUCGAAAGACGGACUUAGUGAUCCGGUGGUUCCGCAUGGAAGGGCCAUCGCUCAACGGAUAAAAGCUACCCCGGGGAUAACAGGCUUAUCUCCCCCAAGAGUUCACAUCGACGGGGAGGUUUGGCACCUCGAUGUCGGCUCAUCGCAUCCUGGGGCUGUAGUCGGUCCCAAGGGUUGGGCUGUUCGCCCAUUAAAGCGGUACGCGAGCUGGGUUCAGAACGUCGUGAGACAGUUCGGUCCCUAUCCGUCGUGGGCGUAGGAAAUUUGAGAGGAGCUGUCCUUAGUACGAGAGGACCGGGAUGGACAUACCUCUGGUGUACCAGUUGUCGUGCCAACGGCAUAGCUGGGUAGCUAUGUGUGGACGGGAUAAGUGCUGAAAGCAUCUAAGCAUGAAGCCCCCCUCAAGAUGAGAUUUCCCAACUUCGGUUAUAAGAUCCCUCAAAGAUGAUGAGGUUAAUAGGUUCGAGGUGGAAGCAUGGUGACAUGUGGAGCUGACGAAUACUAAUCGAUCGAAGACUUAAUCAA
Molecule: ribosomal RNA, 1634 nt
Filed under: Staphylococcus aureus subsp. aureus CIG547
Lineage: Bacteria; Bacillati; Bacillota; Bacilli; Caryophanales; Staphylococcaceae
Description: bacterial LSU rRNA
Rfam family: Bacterial large subunit ribosomal RNA
Source: RNAcentral